GGGUUCAUACGUUGGUCGGGCUAUUUGGUCUGUACUUAUGUAAUGGAUUCCUACCUUCUGAAUAACCGGCAUGCCAUUAAUUUAGCGUGGUGGGAAACCAGGACCUUUACCUUGAAAAAAUUAGAGUGUUCAAAGCAGGCUUACGUCUGAAUACAUUAGCAUGGAAUAAUAGAAUAGGACGGUGGUCCUGUUUUGUUGGUUUCUGAAUCACCGUA
This 215-nucleotide ribosomal RNA is filed under the name Campeiostachys nutans. RNAcentral describes it as "Elymus nutans partial small subunit ribosomal RNA". It matches the Rfam family "Eukaryotic small subunit ribosomal RNA", at positions 667 to 863 of the family's 1831-position model. The record is from RNAcentral. Lineage: Eukaryota; Viridiplantae; Streptophyta; Magnoliopsida; Poales; Poaceae.